GUGGGGAAUAUUGGACAAUGGGCGCAAGCCUGAUCCAGCCAUGCCGCGUGUGUGAAGAAGGCCUUAUGGUUGUAAAGCACUUUAAGCGAGGAGGAGGCUACUUUAGUUAAUACCUAGAGAUAGUGGACGUUACUCGCAGAAUAAGCACCGGCUAACUCUGUGCCAGCAGCCGCGGUAAUACAGAGGGUGCAAGCGUUAAUCGGAUUUACUGGGCGUAAAGCGCGCGUAGGCGGCUAAUUAAGUCAAAUGUGAAAUCCCCGAGCUUAACUUGGGAAUUGCAUUCGAUACUGGUUAGCUAGAGUGUGGGAGAGGAUGGUAGAAUUCCAGGUGUAGCGGUGAAAUGCGUAGAGAUCUGGAGGAAUACCGAUGGUGAAGGCAGCCAUCUGGCCUAACACUGACGCUGAGGUGCGAAAGCAUGGGGAGCAA
Molecule: ribosomal RNA, 426 nt
Filed under: uncultured Acinetobacter sp.
Lineage: Bacteria; Pseudomonadati; Pseudomonadota; Gammaproteobacteria; Moraxellales; Moraxellaceae
Description: bacterial SSU rRNA
Rfam family: Bacterial small subunit ribosomal RNA
Source: RNAcentral